Molecule: long non-coding RNA, 266 nt
Organism: Carassius carassius (crucian carp)
Lineage: Eukaryota; Metazoa; Chordata; Actinopteri; Cypriniformes; Cyprinidae
Exons: 3
Source: RefSeq, a predicted model, not a curated record
UUUGGAUCUGAGGAAUGGAUGCUGCGAGCCCUCGCUCGACUCAAACAAACAGGAUGUUGUCAAGUUGCCCCCUUUGCAACUUAGAUUAUAAAAAUCUAAGCCAGCACCUGAAAGUGACACACCAGGUCAAAAACAGUGAGGAACUGAGGCUCCUGCUCGCUUACAGCUCUGGGAGGUUUAAGAGUAAUGAGGACCUGGUGUGUCUAAUUUGUGAUUUGCCCUGCAAAAGGCUGGAUCGUCAUCUGGCGAUCGUUCACAAACUCAAU